CUCAGGUGAUCCUCCCUUCUCAGCCUCCCAAAGUGUUGGGAUUACAGGCGUGAGCCACCAUGCUCAGCCUGCAUUUGCUAUUUUGAUAUCUAUUACCAAAUUUUUCUUUGGAAAUGUGCCAGUUUACACUCCCACAAAUACUUUUGUCAGCAUUAGUUAGGUAUUACAUGUUUUUAAAUCCUCAUUAAUUCAGCAAACAAUUUUAUUUUAAUUGCCAUAUAGCUUGCUAUGUGUAUGUCUCUUGAAGAAUUACCUGUUCUUUUUAUUGAGGUCUUUAUUUUUUAUUGACUUGUAACUGUUCAUUGCAUCUUAAAAAUAGUAGCACUUUGUUGUGUGCUUACUGUUGUUUUCCCUCAGUUUUUCUUGGUUUUGAACUAGUUUUUGUUUUGUUUUUGUUUUUUGCCAUAUAGAAGGGUUACAAAGUUAAAUAUUUCCAUGUUUUCCAUUAUAGCUUCUGGUAGUAACUAGAAUUUACCUAAGCCCAGAAGAAUAAAAAGUCACCUGUGUUUUAUUCUGGCUUUAUACUGUUUUCAUUUGUUCUGUUAUAAUUUUUGUAUAAGAAAUCCAGGAAUCUAUUUUGCUUCUGAAGUGGCUGUCCAAUCAGGAUUUACCUUUUACCACUUGGUUGGAGAGGUGGGGGAAGAAGAGACUGGAGGAAAUAGAAGCUGAAGACAGGACUAGAUGUGUCUCCCUCCCCAGCCUCCUUUCUCUGCAGAGGUGGAGGAAUCACGGAAGCUAUCGUGGCUUUAGGUGUUGACUUUUGUCAAUGUUUGCUGAAGCCAGGAGUGAAAUUGAGACAAUAUUCCGAUUCUUGGAACCUGAGUUAGCGUUAAAGGGGAUGACAAACAGGCUGUUGUUAGGAGGUAGUUCCAUGUAAUAGGAAGAGUUUCCACCUCCCUCAGAGGCUGCCUUUCUCGUUUCUCCAAAUGAUUUCGCGGUUGGCCUAAGUUUCCUUUACUUCUCCCUACGAUGGUGUAACAUUAGCUUGAAUGCUGACGCUAUGUGGUGGUGAGCGGCAGUGGGUGUAUCUUGCCCAUAAACCCUUGGAGGACAGUGGAGGACAGGGACUGACCAACUCACCCAAGGGUCCUCUGCAUGCACAUGGUCCCUGCACAUGGCACAUAGUUGGUGCUCAGAAGGCCUUUGCUGGAACAAAGGAAAACACAAGCACCCACAGCAGUGAUGGCUGAUUUUGUCGGGUCUGCAAUGGAGAUUAGUCACCACUAGGUGUCAUGGUGAGUCAAGAAACAUUUUGGCUCAUGGUUACAAAUUAUGCGUUUACUGUAUUCAUCUUCGUGCAUGCACACAUGCAAUGUUUUACAAAGCAUCUGUUGAGUGUCUACGGCACAACACACACGUUCUGGUGCUGGAGAUCCUGCCCUGGCUGAGCUUCUGGACCUGGUGGGGAGAAAUCCACAAUGAGUACUGAGACGACCGGCAAAAGCCCGGUGAAGGCACCUAGGAGUAGGGCCUGCUUACCCUGGAGGAGUCGGGAGCAGCUUCCACAGCAAGGAGGCUUCUAAGAAAUGAUCUCCAGUGCCCAGGCUCUGAUGCCCAACAGACCUGAAGUUACAUCCCAACCUGAACAGGCGGCUUUUGCUCUCCAGGCCUUCAUUGCCCCACAGUGGGAACAAUAAUAAUAUGCACCUUCUAGGUACCCAAAAGCACAAGAGACAGUGAACGGAAAGUGCUUGGAAGCCCCGUGCCCAGGUGGUGCUGGCCCCAGCUGAACUGCGGGGAUAGAUGUUGAGUGUCCAGGUUCUAGCAUCAUAGAACAGAAUCCGGCCUGUUGGGAAAUCCUGCCUACAAGUAUACCUCCAUUAAUUAGUGUCUUCUGUGAACAUUUUUAUUAAAAAAAGAAGAAAAGCUUCUCAA
RNAcentral lists this long non-coding RNA (1875 nucleotides) under Homo sapiens (human). RNAcentral describes it as "HSALNT0304453". The record is from RNAcentral. Lineage: Eukaryota; Metazoa; Chordata; Mammalia; Primates; Hominidae.